Molecule: non-coding RNA, 1447 nt
Organism: Rattus norvegicus (Norway rat)
Lineage: Eukaryota; Metazoa; Chordata; Mammalia; Rodentia; Muridae
Source: RefSeq, a predicted model, not a curated record
UGGGCCUUCACAGUGCUGCUCCAGGAAGCUGCAAACUCUGCUUCUCCUUCUCUUGUUUCCGGCUUCCCCAGCCUCACUGUUUACAUGUUCCCUUUCCUCUACCCUCUCCUCCCUGAAGACUAGGAAGGCUGGGCCGCACACAAAUCCAGGGCUCUGGAAUGCUGGGAAGGAAUCACUAGUUGUUGCUUAAGAGGUUCCACACUCUGACGCUUUGAAGAGGACUAGUGUGGGGAAGUGGUGUGAGGCCAAGGACCAAGCCCUGCCCCACUCCAACUCCCAGGGCUUUUGUCGAGGAAGCAAGAGCACCACAGAACAGGUAAGGCCAGGAGGCAUGCCUUAGGGCUUGGCAUUCUGUAUGGUCUCAGAACAGCUUUGAGCUGUGCGUUGGCAAAUGGCUGGAUUCUUGAUACUCGAUUCUCGAGCUGCGUGACUGGAGGUGCAGCCAGAUAUGAGGGAGGUGUUCUGAGAGCAGCAGGAGGUGAACUAGGACUAGUUCUGCGCUCACUACUGCUCUGGCCAUGGCCACUUCAAUACCAACUUACAAGUUAUCCCGGCCCCUGCUCCCUCUACCUCAGAGAGAGAGAGAGACAGAUAGAAGAUAGACAGACACAUACACAGACAGACAGACAGACAGACAGACAGACAGACAGACAGACACAGAGACAGGCAGACGGGGAGGGGGCAUGUCUCUCCCCACCGGUCUCUGCUCCCUUAGUGCUGAGAUUAAAGGUAUACACCAUUAAACCUGGCCUAGCACUCUCUGUAUCUCUGUGCCCUUCCCAUCCCAAGAAACCAAGGAGCCACGUGGUUUUGGCAGAGUGAUCCAUGGAGUCCGGAGCCCACACCCCUCUUCAGGAUUCCCUCAGGGCUAUCCUCAUUGGUCACCACAGGCACACCCUAGACCAAGGGCAGGACAGAACACCAAUGUCCAGGCAGUUUCUGUCUUACCCAUGACCCUUGGUAGCCUUUACCAGAGUUGAUAUGACCUCAUAGGUAGCAUGGCAGUUACCAGAGUCCUCCCAGCCCCACCCCAGGGCAGGCAGAGAGAUGUGCAGAGACCAGACUCUCGUUAACCGUUUGUAUGUAUGUCUCAGCAAACCCAGACACCUCGAGUUGUCAGUCCUCUGUCUCUGACAUUGUCCUAUCACUGGCCUUUUCUGAAUGAGACUGCUCACUUCUUUUUGUACAACAUGAAUUAAAUAUAUUCUCUGUCUUUGCUCUGAGUCACGACAUUCACAGUCAGUGGGAAAGGGGGUUAGGGAGAACCCAGGCUCCAAGGGGUUAGGAUGGCAUGGAGCUUGACCUCCCUUUGACCUUUGCCCUUCAAGUUCAGCCAAAUGUUGGGGAGACCCUAGAACAGGAGGGGAGUACAGAGGAAGGGUGCCUUCCCUGGGGAUGUAGGAUGAGGCUGUCAGGAUCAAACCUGCUGCAACCUCACUUCUCUCCA